This is a long non-coding RNA of Salvelinus fontinalis (brook trout), 2440 nucleotides long. RefSeq lists it as uncharacterized. The record is from RefSeq and is a predicted model, not a curated record. The transcript is spliced from 2 exons. NCBI's taxonomy places the organism in Eukaryota, Metazoa, Chordata, Actinopteri, Salmoniformes, Salmonidae.
UAAAAGCGAAAGGACCAACACACGCGCGCUCCGCUCGCAGAGCAACCGAGGAAAACUCCUGAUGCAAAAUGGAAACUGUGUCAACGGGACCUGAGCCCUAGGACCAUGCCUCAGGACUACCUGGCAUGAUGACUCCUUGCUGCCCCCAGUCCACCUGGCCGUGCUGCUGCUCCAGUUUCAAAUGUUCUGCCUGCGGCUAUGGAACCCUGACCUGUUCACCGGACGUGCUACCUGUUCCAGACCUACUGUUUUCAACUCUCUAGAGACAGCAGGAGCGGUAGACAUACUCAAUGAUCAGCUAUGAAAAGCCAACUGACAUAUACUCCUGAGGUGCUGACCUGUUGCACCCUCGACAACUACUGUGAUUAUUAUUAUUUGACCAUGUUGGUCAUUUAUGAACAUUUUAACAUCUUGGCCAUGUUCUGUUAUAAUCUCCACCCGGCACAGCCAAAAGAGGACUGGCCACCCCUCAUAGCCUGGUUCCUCUCUAGGUUUCUUCCUAGGUUUUGGCCUUUCUAGAAUUUUUCCUAGCCACCGUGCUUCUACACCUGCAUUGUUUGCUGUUUGGGGUUUUAGGCUGGGUUUCCGUACAGCACUUUGUGGCAUCAGCUGUUGUAAGAAGGUCUUUAUAAAUACAUUUGAUUUUAAUCCAAUCACUGAACAAGCCUGUCUGAACCAUAGAUAUUCUAGAGUGUGUAGGUCUGAGUUCUGAUUCUAUCUCUAUGGCCAGAACUGUGGAACAUGGUAACUAUGGGACACCAAGGCCAUUUAAUUCUGUUGAAAACAAUAGUCAUAGCCCAGGUGGGUUGUUGUUAAAAGUGAGACAGAGAGGUUUAGACUAUUGAAAGUGUGUGCGUGCGUUUGUGUUUGAGUUUGUUGAAGGCCAAAUAGGAAUUUCAAAGUAAAAGCUUUCCUCCACUGUCUACAGUUCAUCUCAUAUAGUCCUGUAUUUUCUUCAGUCAUCAUUAUCUGUAGGGUGCCAUUUGGGAUACAGCGAUUUUCCGUCACCUUCACACAGCAGAAGGCCCAUAAUGUUGGGUAAUCAUAACUGUCUGAUCCUAGAUGAUGAAUGAUGUCUGUAAUUUUAUGUAACCCUGUAAUCCCUAAUCCGCUGGUGGCACAAAUGGCUCAAUAUUUUUUUCCCUCUCUAUAACCUUAAGGGUAGAGGUUUCCUUUAUCCUUAACGCCCAUUUUAACUGUCUAAAAGUCCAUUUAAACUCCAUUCUAACUGUGUAAAUGUCAACUUUAACUGUACAAACGUCCAUUUUAACUGUCUAAAUGUCCCUUUACACUCCAUUCUAACUGUGUAAAUGAAUGGUAAAGAACAGUGCUCAUAAUAUCAGGUGUGUGUGUGUGUGUGUGUGUGUGUGUGUGUGUGUGUGUGUGUGUGUGUGUGUGUGUGUGUGUGUGUGUGUGUGUGUGUGUGUGUGUGUGUGUGUGUGUGUGUAUACGAUAGAGACAAGUGUCAGGUGCAGGCUGAGGAGGAUUCAGAAGGAGACAGGACACAGUGUACCAGACAUUGAAAUAGGGUUUUUACUAAGGGAUUCACAUGGACAAUGUCACUGUACACACCUACACAUUAGAUCACACUUACACAAGGCCCGAGUCAGACAAGUCUUUUUCCAGUGUCAAAAACACACACAUCUAUACGCUCAAUGUUUCCAUGGUGACCACAAUGAAUGAGCUGUUAUGCACGUUGCAACCUAGGUCUAGUGUUUGUAAUAAUGGACCUAGGCUUCCACAUAUCACAUAUCUACAUAGCUGGAAUACAUAGAACAGCUUUCUCUCAUGUAAACUGAUCUAUUCAUGUCAGCCCUGGGCUGAAUCAUGUCUACUUCAGGGAGCGUCCUAAAUUACUCCCUAUUCCCUACAUAGUGCCCUACUUUUGACCAGAGCCCAAUGGGCCCUGAUUUAAAAGGAGUGUGCUAUAGAGUAUAGGCAAUAGGUUGCCAUUUGGGACAUGGCCUUGAUCUAUCACUUUUGAUCCCUCUGUAAACCGCCACCACAACUAUCAACAAGGCUUAAAGGAAAACACAACAUCAUUUGGUCUUUCUCAAAAGUAGCUGUAUAUUGAUGUAUCUUUCUUAACUUUUUGGCUGAGCUGAGGAACAAGCUGUCUCAGAGAUAGGAUGCCCUAGGCUGGUCCCAGAUGUGUUUGUGCCAUCUUGCCAACGACAUUGGUGUGAUUGUCAAGCCAAACAUGUUUAGUAUGACAGUGAAUGACAAGGAGUUGGCAUGAUGGCACUAACAAGACUGGCACUCAGGCUAAGACGGCUUCUCUCUGGGUGGGGGUGGAGGGAGGGCAGGGAAGGUUGUUGUGGCUGGCUGGAGCUGGGGUGCCUUCCUACAGAAAGCAUCACACAUCGUUUACACAAGAAGGGGCAGAGGUUGAUAGCAAGCACUUGCCGCGUUUGGGGUCAAUUCAAGUUCAACUCAAGUU